RNAcentral lists this ribosomal RNA (407 nucleotides) under uncultured bacterium. RNAcentral describes it as "partial 16S ribosomal RNA". It matches the Rfam family "Bacterial small subunit ribosomal RNA", at positions 29 to 526 of the family's 1533-position model. The record is from RNAcentral.
AUUGAACGCUGGCGGCAGGCCUAACACAUGCAAGUCGAGCGGAGCGGCAGACGGGGAAGUAAGGCCUAGGAAUCGGCCUGGUAGUGGGGGAGAACGUCCGGAAACGGGCGCUAAUACCGCAUACUCACAGAUGAGCAUAGGGCGGAGUAGGUAGUGGGUGGGGUAAAGGCCUACCAAGGCGACGAUCCGUAACUGGUCUGAGAGGAUUAUCAGUCACACUGGAACUGAGACACGGCCCAGACUCCUACGGGAGGCAGCAGUGGGGAAUAUUGGGCAAUGGGCGCAAGCCUGAUCCAGCCAUGCCGCGUGUGUGAAGAAGGUCUUCGGGUUGUAAAGCUCUUUAGGUUGGGAGGCGUUACCAACAGAAGAAGCACCGGCUAACUUCGUGCCAGCAGCCGCGGUAAUAC